CCGUGAUGCGGGAGCCAAUAUUUUUGAAUCAUGCGCUCCUCGCUUGGGUGUCUUGCCGUGCCGCCUUGUGGACGCCCGUCCCCCAGGGGAGGGCAGUCGUGCGAGGCAUGCCAGGAG
Molecule: non-coding RNA, 117 nt
Filed under: Scrippsiella trochoidea
Lineage: Eukaryota; Dinophyceae; Peridiniales; Peridiniaceae
Source: RNAcentral